CAUGAAAACCAUAUGUAAUUUUAAUUGCUUAUUUACUUGUCUUCCCCAUUAGAAUGUUAUAGACUGUUCUUGGGAAGGGAGCCUGUCUUUUAUUUUUGAGAUUCUAAAGCUUAGUAAAUAUUCAAUAAAUAGUUGUUAAGUAAAUGAAGAAAAGGAUAAAUUUUUAGUAGGGCCAUCAGGAGUUUCAUGGGAGGAAAUUCGAGGUGGAUUGUGAGGGAUUAAGAUGAGAGAAGGAGAAAAAGCCCACAAAGAAGGGAUAGCACAAACAUAGGAGAGGCAAGGGGAGGGCGCGAUUAGGGAAUGGCUGCACAUGCCUCUUGGAGUAUUGAAGUAGAAGUUAAUCUGCGCUAAGAUAAGCCAGAACUAAGUCCAGGGGUUUACUGAUACUGGACAUCUGUUUACAUUGGGAAGCCACUGAAGGUUUUUGAGGAGGAGAGUUUAAGAACUGGUUCUGUGUUUAAAAGGAUGCUUCUGGUGAUACAAUGUGGGACUGAUUAGUGAGGACAGAGACAAGAGGCUAUGCAAGCAGUUAGGAGGCUGCUGCAUUAUUACUUUGGCUGAGAAAGGUGAGGAGGCUGCAGAAGAAAAGUUGGAAGCUAGAAGAAGUUGGUUUAUGAGGUUUAACGAAAGAAGACGUCUCCAUAACCUAAAAGGGCAAGGUGAAGCAGCAAGUGCUGAUGGAGAAGUUGUAGCAGGGGCACACCCAGCUCCAAGAUCACCUUCCCAGGCCUCUCUUGCUAUGACAGAUGCCAUGUGACACAGUUCUAGCCAAUGAGAAGUAACCAGAACACCCUGGGUAAGACUUCUUGGAAAAUUAUUUAAAAAGGGGGAGCUGACUUUGCCCUUUCUCUUUUGCAUAGCUAGGCUGAAAAUAUAAUGCUAGAUGUGGAACUGUCGUUUCGUGACUAGAAAUAAAGGGUGUGAGAGACAAAACUACCUACUGAAGAUGGCUGGAUAGAAAGAGAGAAGAGAUUCAGAUCCCUGAAGCCAUCAUAGAGUCAACACACCAUUCCACAGCAAGAUAUAAUUCUUUUUGUGGAGCCGAAUAUAUUCCAGGCUGAUAUUCACUGCUGAAAAAUUCAGCAAUGAUUUUUUUCAGUAACAUUACAGGACAUGAUAAAAAGCAAUUAUGCAUAUGUUCAUAUUGAAGUAGUAAAUUUUCCAGGAUAAGAUAAUUAAUAUUUAUUAUUGUGCACUUAUUAGAGAUAUCAGGCACAUAUUUUUUAUACCAACUCAUUUACCCUUCAGAAUUUCACCAGCCAGCAAGUGUGAUUAUCCGUCAUGUUACAAAUGGAGAAUCUGAUGUUCAGAUAGGUUAAAAAAUUUCUCAAGGAUGCACAGUUCAUGUGCCAGAUCCCAAAGUCCAUUUGCUUUCCACCAUACAAUAUUGAAUAUAUUCACUGUUAUUGUGUUUCUUAAAUGAAUUUUACUUUAAAGAUCUUUAUGGUGAAAAAUCUCAAAAUGAAAGAAAUUAUAGAGGAUUAUAGUCUAACUAAUACCAUGAGGUCACUCUCCAACUUUAAAAAUGUUUAGGCUGGGCGCAG
RNAcentral lists this long non-coding RNA (1544 nucleotides) under Homo sapiens (human). RNAcentral's name for it is "HSALNT0323665". The record is from RNAcentral. Lineage: Eukaryota; Metazoa; Chordata; Mammalia; Primates; Hominidae.